This is a long non-coding RNA of Nicotiana tabacum (common tobacco), 992 nucleotides long. RefSeq lists it as uncharacterized. NCBI's taxonomy places the organism in Eukaryota, Viridiplantae, Streptophyta, Magnoliopsida, Solanales, Solanaceae. The record is from RefSeq and is a predicted model, not a curated record.
UCUGCUUCUAGAACCUUAGACUACAACACACAAAAAACCUAGCUGAACUUUAAGAACACCAGGGGCGCCCAUCUUCUUCUUCGAGAGGCUAGCUGAACCAUAGUGAGAGAGACCCAAAAAGACUCCAAGCCAUCAGCAGCCUGAACACGACCAAACUCACCGGAAAAGAGAUCAGUGCCCAUAUCCUCCUCUCAUCAAGCAAACGACCACCCAUCGUUGUCUCUCCGUCAACCAGCCUCCCGCGCAGCAGCAAGUCCGGCGACAAACCAACAGCUUUCCAUCUCUGGCCCUUCCAAAAACUACCGAAGAACAACCAGGUCAACAUCGACCAGCGACCCUGCCACCAGCAGCAGCAGCCUCUGCUGCCAACCAGCAGCAUCCGCUAGCUGCGAAAGAAAAAUGAAAAAACUUAAGAGGGUUUGUUGUUAGUGUUCAUUCUUGAAUUCAUAGAAGAACAAGUUUCGUCAUGAUCUAGAAAGAAGAUAAUGUAUAUCAUCCUUUUAAGAAUUACAAAUAGCUUGAGUCUCCUAAUAUCUGAUAACAAAGUGAGAACGAGAGGAUGAGUUUGGACUAGAGUGUCCCAGUUAUCCCUAGCCUCACGAAGGCAUUCUCAGUUUUGAGCUUGGGGGCGUCCGUAUGAGGUUUCCGGUCCAGGUUCAUAGGCUUGAAGCAACCACUGAUGUGCACUUGAUUUGGAGUUUUACUAUUCAAUAUAAAAGAGGGACUCAUCUAAGGUAUGGAGCAAUUUGCUAAAGUUUGAACAUGACAAAAUACCCCAGGACCAUUUUAGUCAAGACCAUUGCAUGCUCGAGCUGCUUGAGGAAACUUUUAUGUUUUGAGUCUGUCGUUUAUGUAGUCUUUUAAUUAUUAGUCCUGUAUAGUAGUAUCGAGUCUGUUAGUCUAGUUAAGAUUGUCGAGUCUUUCAUUAUCGUACUAUCUGUUUCGUAUUUGAAAAACCAAUAAAUGAAAAUCCAAAAAGAUUUUUAUUUUUA